AACGAACGUUGGCGGCGUGGAUUAGGCAUGCAAGUCGAACGGGGUUGGGGGCAACUCCAACCUAGUGGCGAACGGGUGAGUAACGCGUGGGAAACCUGCCCUUGAGAUGGGGAUAACACUUCUAACGAGGUGCUAAUACCGAAUAAGACCACGAAGUCGCAUGGCUUCGCGGUCAAAGAUGGCCUCUGCUUGCAAGCUAUCACUUAAGGAUGGUCCCGCGUCCCAUUAGCUAGUUGGCGGGGUAACAGCCCACCAAGGCGACGAUGGGUAGCUGGUCUGAGAGGAUGGUCAGCCACACUGGGACUGAGAUACGGCCCAGACUCCUACGGGAGGCUG
RNAcentral lists this ribosomal RNA (336 nucleotides) under uncultured Latescibacterota bacterium. RNAcentral describes it as "bacterial SSU rRNA". It matches the Rfam family "Bacterial small subunit ribosomal RNA", at positions 29 to 351 of the family's 1533-position model. Lineage: Bacteria; Pseudomonadati; Candidatus Latescibacterota. The record is from RNAcentral.